Molecule: long non-coding RNA, 2151 nt
Filed under: Zea mays
Lineage: Eukaryota; Viridiplantae; Streptophyta; Magnoliopsida; Poales; Poaceae
Description: long non-coding RNA (ZMAY_LNC001467)
Source: RNAcentral
ACGAAGGUUUUCUUAACUCAUCGUUUAUGAAUGGAGGUAGUACAAGAUAAGUACAAAUUCAGCAUACACAUUUGUUUCUUUCGGUAAAGGACCUCUAGGAUGAGUGAAUAUUGAAGUGCCUUCCUAUAUGAGAUUGGUACCUAAAAGUGCCUCCUUAUUCAUCUGGCAAAUAAUUAAAAAAUACAAAUGAAUCACGUUAGCUGCUCUUGUGCAAUAAUUCAGUAUAUCUUAUGGAAGAACAAUGCUAAUUAUUUCGAACUAGUUCCCUCCCAGAAACCUGAAUGCAGUUCACUUGAAUGGUCAGCUCCAUAUGCACCUGAAUGCAGUGCAGGAAGUGAUGGGCUGUUUCAUUGAAGUUUGUCACACGCCUGACGAGAAAUCAUAAACUGUAACAUUUCAAGAUAAAAUGUAUGCAUGGCAUAGCUGUAUCGAAUUCACAAUAUAUUUGUCCACGAUCUUGCUACCAAUUUGAGACAUUAUCUGACAAACAACUUCAGGAGCAGGUUCAGUAAGCUAAACAAAAAAAUUCUUCAACAUCAUCUUCUAUGCAUCUAGGUAAGCAACACAGUGUUGUGAUGUACUGUAAAACAAUAAUUUUAUCUUAGCAAAAUGUUUCAAAAGAAGUAAUUAUAUUAACCAAGUCAAUAGUUUCCAUAUUGUACUCUAAAUUUAUUUUUGAAGAGCGAGUGUGCAAUGAUUGAAUGUGUAGCUAUAAGCUAUCGACAAAAAAAAUUGCACUCACCAUCAUCACCAGUUUAAUAAUUAGUUCUACAGAUUAAUCUAAUAGGCUACAAGAAGCAAAAGCAAAUCAGACAUCCACCGUCUCCACUCGAGAUUUUAGAUCUAGAAAAUUUGUACCUCGGAAGGCAGCCCCGGUCCUAUGAUUUUGAGGGCCCCCAUGCGAGCUCAUUGUGAUAUGUCUUCUAUACUGUAUAAAUUUUUAUAUAUAUAAACAAUAUGGGUUAGUUUUACUUGCAAAAACAUAAAUAAAUACACUGAUAUAUAUUGAAUUUAAUAUGUCUGAUAAUUAUCGAGAAAUAAAGUCGACCAACAAUAUAUUUAGUGUUAGUUUGACAACCUCAUUUUUCUAAGAAAUUCCUAUUUUUCAUUUGAAAAUAAACUAAUUUCCUGUAAAACUCAUUUGUUUCGUUGCAAUUGAAUUUAAUUCUAAUAAUUAUAAUUUCGAUAAAACUAAUUAGGCUACGAGUAUAUGACAUGCGAUCGGCGACGAUAGUGAAAAAGAGACUGGUUCUGUGCAGCGGUGUAACAGACCUUUAACCAACGCUUUAGUCAGACAUGUGCGUCGUCUGUUCUACUUCUAUAUAAUUUAGUAAGAUAAUAAUUUAAUAUUAAUCCUACUAUUUUAUUAGAUAUAUUGAACCCCUUUCUUUCGUGGACCCACCGGCAGUCGCCUCCGCUGCAUGGCCUUAGGGCCGGCCCUUGGGAAGGCUCCUCCUCCAUCAGAAUCCAGAGCUCCAUCACCGGCCACCUGCCAUGGCAGGAUCCUCCAGUCGAAGGAGACAUCCCUUAAUGUACAGUCCUGACGAGAAACAACAGCAUCCCUUCCGAAAGCAUCACAUCGCCCGCCACCGCCUCCUCAAACGCCGCCUCCUCCUCUCUGGGUCACCGCUGCCGCUUGCCACCUCGACCACGACAACUGCACAGGAAAAAGAACACGGGGAGUACGUACGGAUGGGGGAGAAAUGCUCACGCGAAAAUUUGUGGGAGAUGAGGUCUCCAAUUAGGACCCGUUCGGUAGACAUGGAAGGGAGGACCGUAAUUGUUCCUACCUAGAUUACUUCUCUAAUUUGUAUAAGUUUUAAUCAACAGGAAUAAUUCUUGGUGCAUUCCGGUAGAAACGAACGGGCCCUUAGGGAUGUGGAUUUUUUUUGGAGGGGUACAGGAGCUGUUGGUUGGAGCAAGCAAAAUUAGUUUUUUUUCUCUAAUAUAUGUUUUGGGGUAAGUUUGUAUUUUUUUAAGUUGUUUUAAGGUAAUUUGGUUGAGUGAGUUUUGUAAAAUUUAAAAUUGAUGGAUUAUAUAGUGGUCUAGAUAUAAAUAGAGAUAGAGGUUUUAUAGAACGCUGGAUGAAUAUAUUUUUAAAAUAAAAAUUAUGAAAAAUGCAUAUUUUAUAAUUUUUAUCGGGCUAAAACA